This 507-nucleotide ribosomal RNA is filed under the name uncultured bacterium. RNAcentral describes it as "bacterial SSU rRNA". It matches the Rfam family "Bacterial small subunit ribosomal RNA", at positions 29 to 507 of the family's 1533-position model. The record is from RNAcentral.
AAUGAACGCUGGCGGCGUGCCUAACACAUGCAAGUCGUACGAGAAAUCUUCCGCUUGCGGAAGAGAGUAAAGUGGCGCACGGGUGAGUAACGCGUGGGUAACCUGCCCCUGAAUUUGGGAUAACUCCGCGAAAGCGGGGCUAAUACCGAAUAAGACCACGACCGCUUCGGCGGCAGAGGUAAAAGCUGACCUCUCCAUGGAAGUUAGCGUUUGGGGACGGGCCCGCGUCCUAUCAGCUUGUUGGUAGGGUAACGGCCUACCAAGGCAGCGACGGGUAGCUGGUCUGAGAGGAUGAUCAGCCACACUGGAACUGGAACACGGUCCAGACUCCUACGGGAGGCAGCAGUGAGGAAUUUUGCGCAAUGGGGGAAACCCUGACGCAGCAACGCCGCGUGGGUGAAGAAGGCUUUCGAGUCGUAAAGCCCUGUCAGGUGGGAAGAAACUCUUCAGCACUAAUAAUGCUGAAGCUUGACGGUACCACCAGAGGAAGCACCGGCCAACUCCGUG